Long non-coding RNA from Magallana angulata, 2611 nucleotides. RefSeq lists it as uncharacterized. The transcript has 2 exons. NCBI's taxonomy places the organism in Eukaryota, Metazoa, Mollusca, Bivalvia, Ostreida, Ostreidae. The record is from RefSeq and is a predicted model, not a curated record.
AAUAAACAUCGAUAAGUACUGGUCACUCAAUGAUCGAACUAACUUUUUCAAAACAAAAUGGCUGCCAAUAUGGCGGCGCCCAGGGCUGGAAGAAUUUUUUUUUGGUCUUAGUAACCCUGAUUCAACUUUCAUUUUUCACUGAUUUUCAUAUAUAUACGUGUUACCAUUAAUCCUCGCUUAGCUGCGCUCGGUAUAAGUUCAAGCAAGUAAUAUGUAAUUUUGAUUAAUAAAAGUUUGCCCACUGUUUUUUUUUUUCCCUCCUCUGACCCAAAUUUUUUACAACAAAAUCCAUAAAACUAAAAAUUAAAUUUCUCUCGCCUUAAAUGUUUUGUAAUUCUGUGAGUUAAGUGACAAAUAAAUCAAUCCUUGUACUUCUGUGUAUUUUGGAGGCAUUAGUGCAACUAUUUGAGCCAAUUACAACCGUUAUGUGGGUCAUUCUAAAAAAAGUGGAUUUUUUCAAGUAACACUUAUUUCAAAACAAAGUACUUACAACAAGAUUGAAUUUAUCAUAUUUUGAAUCGGGCAUAUCAUGAUGUUUGUUUGAUAAAACAACAGUACAUCAAAUGAAAAUCUAUAAAUAUGAUAUUUACAACCACAUGAAAAGAAAACAGUCUUUGGUGUACGUAACGCAUAAGAAAUAUUGAUAAAUUUAAUUAAAUAAAUCUUAUUGUUCAUGCAUUUGGUUUGGUGUUAAAAUAACAUGACAAUGAUGCAAGGUAUGUGUAAUUCUUGUUAGAUGUGCUCGCCACAACGGUAGUACCGGCAAAACAGAUUCAUACAUGCCAACUAUCCCGAUUUUUGUGGGAUUCUCCCGAUUUCACGUCGUCAAAAUUAUAAAUCCCGAUAUCCCGAUCGGGAUUGUCAAAAUACCCCGAAAUCCCGAUUCUCAAAAAAUCCAACCCGUUUUACGACAAUAAGUCCAGAUUUCCAUCUUAAAUUUCAAAUCCCGCGCUGCUUGUCUACGCUAACCAAUCAAAAAGCGGGAUUAUGACCGCCAUUGCUGUUUACCUGUAUCGCGUGUGUGUAUAAUCGGGAUGUGUGAAUUGAUGUAAUUACCUGUACGCUGUCUGGGUGUUUGCAAACCUAAUGAGGAGCAUGUUUUGAUAGUAAUUAAUCGGGAAAUAUCGGGAUGAACAGCAAAAUGCCACACUUUAAAGUUUUUACACAAACUUCGACAAGAAUGGGGUUACACCACCAAAGAAAACGAAACUUUUAUCCCAAUAUCGGGAGGCAGAUUCCCGAUUUUCGGGAUGACUAUCGGGAUCGUAAUUGGAUGACAACCAUGUAUAUUGCCGUGUAAUAGGUAUGUUUAACUUAUAUAUAGUACAACUGAAUAUAUUUAUUGACUAUUGUGUACACAUGACACUAGGCGAGAUUGACAGCUACAAGAAGAAUAGAUAUGUUAAACUUCAUGAGUAACAAUUUUUUAUUUUUAUUUUGAGGGAUUUUAGGGUAGACCAUGGUGGAAUGAAUGAUGUUACAAAGAUCACGAAUCCAUCAAGCCACCUGCUGCUACCAACUUCUUUGUGAAAUCAAAAUUGGAGCAAGAUGAAGAUGUCACAAGAGCAGAGGUCCUGUUUGCCAACUGCGUUGCAGAGCUUAGUGCUUUUUGAACGGCUAUACCAUACUAUUUAUUGUUUGUUGAGAUUUUAAAGAUUGAUUUAAUAAAGAUUGAUUUAAUAUAUGAAAAUAAAGUUAUGUACUUUAUUUAUGAUUUCAUUUGAAAGAGGAGAUUGUUUGAUAAACACAUUAGGCUAAUGUUAAAUAGAUAAAGAAACAGAUGAAUUUCUAAGAGUUCAAUUGUUCAUACAAAGCAAUUACACGACAAAAUGCCGCGAAAUUUCCUUCUAGCAAAAUGUCGUCACGCGUAAAAUCCCCCAUGGAGAUUUUCAAAAGUUGGCAUGUAUGCAGAUUAUGUGCAUAUAUGAAUGCAAACCAGGGUUUUAUAACUUAUUUCAAUUCUUUUAAAGGUUAUAAUUAAUUACGGAGCAAUAAUAACACGAGAAAAAUAUCUUAAUACAGUGAGAUGUUUCGCUCCAAUGGAGGUGCGAAACAUAUUGAGGUGCGAGUCAUCUCCGCGCGAAACAGAAUAGCUGCGAUCCCGGAUUCUUUAAAUGCUUACCUAUAUAGGUCAACAUCACAAUGAUAAUCCAAUUAGAGCACAAUAUGGAUCCUUUUUGCUUAUCAUCACAAAAGAAACGUUUAUCCGUGUUAUUUAAUCCUUUUCUGCAUAUGGAAAACACCGGAAAGUACAUCACUAGCACGUGCAAGUUAACUGGGUAAAACUAAUACCCGCUAACGUGGCCUGCAGGGUGUUGCUAAAAUGCGGAACGGAAAACGGGACGGAACGGAUAACAUUUUUAAGUUAAAAUCACAAUUUCUUUAAUUCAUUAAACAUGUUAAAUUGGUUUUCUGAGAUUCGCGGCGGGGGAGGGGUGUUGUGAUGGAUUUUAGCUUCUCAUUGAGAUACGAUAGGAUGGUGAUACGCUUGAUUAGAUGACAUAUCAAACAAACAAAAAUGACAAUGAAUAUCAAAGUGAAAGAAAAAAAUAAUUAAAAAAUUAAGAAAAAUAUGUGAACGCAUGUUUAAAUAAUAUACAAGUCGUAUGAA